CCUACGGGUGGCAGCAGUGAGGAAUAUUGGUCAAUGGCCGGAAGGCUGAACCAGCCAAGCCGCGUGCAGGACGAAGGUGCCAAGCGUUGUAAACUUCUUUUGUCAAGGGACAAAAUCAGGCUCGAGAGCCUGACCGAUGGUACUUGAAGAAAAAGCAUCGGCUAACUCCGUGCCAGCAGCCGCGGUAAUACGGAGGAUGCGAGCGUUAUCCGGAUUUAUUGGGUUUAAAGGGUGCGUAGGCGGACUGUUAAGUCAGCGGGAAAAGCCCGGGGCUCAACCCCGGCGAGCCGUUGAAACUGGCUGGCUUGAGAGGGCGAGAGGUAUGCGGAAUGCGUAGUGUAGCGGUGAAAUGCUUAGAUAUUGCGAAGAACUCCGAUUGCGAAGGCAGCAUACCGGCGGCGAUCUGACGCUGAGGCACGAAAGCGUGGGUAUCGAACAGGAUUAGAUACCCCUGUAGUC
RNAcentral lists this ribosomal RNA (459 nucleotides) under uncultured bacterium. RNAcentral describes it as "partial 16S ribosomal RNA". It matches the Rfam family "Bacterial small subunit ribosomal RNA", at positions 338 to 795 of the family's 1533-position model. The record is from RNAcentral.